Molecule: ribosomal RNA, 441 nt
Filed under: uncultured bacterium
Lineage: Bacteria
Description: bacterial SSU rRNA
Rfam family: Bacterial small subunit ribosomal RNA
Source: RNAcentral
CUACGGGAGGCAGCAGUGAGGAAUAUUGCACAAUGGGCGCAAGCCUGAUGCAGCAACGCCGCGUGCGGGAGGAAGGCCUUCGGGUCGUAAACCGCUUUUUGGGGGGACGAGUGAGGACGGUACCCCUAGAAUAAGUCUCGGCUAACUACGUGCCAGCAGCCGCGGUAAAACGUAGGAGGCAAGCGUUAUCCGGAUUCACUGGGCGUAAAGCGCGUGUAGGUGGCUCGCUAAGUCGAGUGUUAAAGCCCCUGGCUUAACUGGGGGAGGCCAUUCGAUACUGGUGGGCUUGAGGGCAAAAGAGGAAGGCGGAAUUCCCGGUGUAGCGGUGGAAUGCGUAGAGAUCGGGAGGAACACCUGUGGCGAAAGCGGCCUUCUGGGUUGCGCCUGACACUGAGACGCGAAAGCGUGGGGAGCAAACGGGAUUAGAAACCCUAGUAGUCC